Gracilinanus agilis (Agile Gracile Mouse Opossum) is the source of this 445-nucleotide long non-coding RNA. RefSeq lists it as uncharacterized. The record is from RefSeq and is a predicted model, not a curated record. NCBI's taxonomy places the organism in Eukaryota, Metazoa, Chordata, Mammalia, Didelphimorphia, Didelphidae. The transcript is spliced from 3 exons.
CGCGUUUGCACUCACUCCCUCUGCUCCCUCGGCUAUAAAACUCCAGCUACCUGCUGCGGCUCACCAACCCCGGGCUCAGAGGAAUCAGCUGGACAUCUGUAGCUACCUUCUGCAAGGCGCAGGCCCUCAUCGCCCCGAGCCAUGGAUCCCCCAAAAUGCAGCUGCCCAACGGGAGGCACUUGCACCUGUUCUGGCAAGUGCAAAUGCAAAGAGUGCAAAUGUACUUCCUGUGAGAAAGGAGGCUGCUGUACCUGCUGCCCUACUGAGUGUCCUAAGUGCUCCAAGCAGUGUGUCGACAAAGGGACUGACAAGUGCAGCUGCAACCACUGAUGGAGCUUCUUGUAAAUAUAACUGUUUUUCCUAAAGGCAUGAGCUGUGUGCAUUUCCUGCCGUAAAAAUAUACUCAUGUGUUUUCCAGUGAAAAUAAACUCAACGAACUAAGUAA